Molecule: ribosomal RNA, 253 nt
Filed under: uncultured bacterium
Lineage: Bacteria
Description: partial 16S ribosomal RNA
Rfam family: Bacterial small subunit ribosomal RNA
Source: RNAcentral
UACGUAGGGAGCAAGCGUUGUCCGGAAUCAUUGGGCGUAAAGCGCGCGCAGGCGGCCCUGUAAGUCCGUUGUGAAAGUCAAAGGCUCAACCUUUGAAAGCCGAUGGAUACUGCAGGGCUAGAGUCCGGAAGAGGCGAGUGGAAUUCCUGGUGUAGCGGUGGAAUGCGCAGAUAUCAGGAGGAACACCAAUAGCGAAGGCAGCUCGCUGGGACGGUACUGACGCUAAGGCGCGAAAGCGUGGGGAGCAAACAGG